This 331-nucleotide ribosomal RNA is filed under the name Paranephrops zealandicus. Its description in RNAcentral is "partial 12S ribosomal RNA". Lineage: Eukaryota; Metazoa; Arthropoda; Malacostraca; Decapoda; Parastacidae. The record is from RNAcentral.
GCUUGAAAUUCAAAGAAUUUGGCGGUAUUUUAGUCUAGUUAGAGGAACCUGUUUUAUAAAUGAUACAACACGUAAAAUCUUACUAGUUUUUGUAAAACAGCUUGUAUACCGUCAUUAUUAGAUAACUUUUAUAGAAAAAGUUAUUGGGAGUAUAAAUUUAAGUAUAUUAGAUCAAGGUGCAGCUAAUGAAUUAGUAAAAAUGGGUUACAAUAAAAUUAAUUAUUACGAAUUAGAAUUUGAAUAAAUUUUAUGAAGGGGGAUUUAAUUGUAAUUAUAUUUUAAUAAGUUAUAGUGAUAUAAGUACUAAAUUAUGUACAUAUCGCCCGUCGCU